Molecule: long non-coding RNA, 3378 nt
Organism: Melospiza melodia melodia
Lineage: Eukaryota; Metazoa; Chordata; Aves; Passeriformes; Passerellidae
Exons: 3
Source: RefSeq, a predicted model, not a curated record
GGAAGGAGUCAUCACAUCAUAUACUAACUCAUCUAAAUCUGGAUGCCUAAAUUAGGUUCCUCCACCAAGUGGAAUCAGAACAAGUCAUCUCUGUCACUGUUAGGAAAGCCAAGAGAGAUUAGGCUCUAAUUUAUUUAGCAAAAUAUUUGAUUGUAUUUUAUUAUGUGUUGAAUAUCUUAUAAAGAUGCUCUGAUUAUCUUGCCUUCUUCCCAGCCUCUCAGCCUCUUAAACUCCUAACUUACGGAUCCUGCUGAACUUUCAGAAAUACACCAGAAGCAUUUCUCCUGAGCUCUAGAGCUCAACAGGAAGCAACAAAGAAAUUUGAAGAAAGCCAAGACAAAAAAAUGUUCAGAAAAAAAUUCCAGAGAUGAAGAGGAGGAGCUGGAAAUGUGUGUCACAGCCACAACAGUAGCUGCAGCUCUCACCCCACAUGGGCUGUGAGAACUUAAUUGGAGCAAAAUUGUCCACGCACUUAAUAAAUACUUGGGUUGAAGGGCUGAAGAAGGUCAUGUUUUAAAGACCUAACUGCAGACAAUUGAUUGAGAUGGGGCUGAUGAGGUUUUCUAGGGGGCAAAAGUGUGACUCCAGCAGAGCCAUAGAGGCAGGAGCUGUCAUGGGAAGGGCCACCAAGCCCUUGGUCCUCACAAGUAGAUGCCCAGCAUCCCCUGUGGGGCUGUAAGGGCUCCACUGCUGCAACAGCCUUCCUGCCAUUGGCUUCAGCAGCCUAAAUGUUGCAGGAAGCUUUAAUCUGAGCCUAGCUAGAUGAAAGCAGUUACAAGUGUAACUAGCAAUGCCGUAAUGGCAGCUUUGAUUACAGUGUAGGUAUCUUCAAAAAUAGAUGAUCUUCGGAAUCAAGGUCAGGAUGUGAUUAUGAGAAUUACAGGCUUUCCUAAAAGUGCUGAGGAAAACAAAAAACGCAAACUGAGAAACGUAUUGAUUCUUCCAUUUUAACCCUGAUGACCAGCUACAUCAAACUGAUCUGCCGGGAGCCAUCACUGACAAAUCCACAAUAAAAGGAACACGGCGUGGAUCGGCAGCAGACAUCAGAAACUUUCCCAGAGGAGAGGUUGCUGUUCCCCAACACCAUGCUCCCGGGCAGCAGCCACAUACCAGAGAGGCAAAUCACACUCCAGUGGUGCUUGGUGGUCAGAAAGACUGUGACUGCUGUUCCUGUAGUGGAUGGUGUUACUUGCUCUUGAGGAGGUGAGGCAGGAAAGCACUGCCAAGGACCCAUGACUCGGUUUUCCUGGUCACCUUUCAUCCCAUAGUAAGGUAAUGAGUUCACUGAGCAGCUUUUAUCUUUCUCCCUCUCCUUCCCUGCUCUCUUUUUGAUGGUGCAUUUACUGGCACUCUGAUUUUCCAUCACACAAAGGUUUCAACAGGUGGUUUGCACAGCUCACCUCUGCUACAGAUGAGACAUUAAAAAAACCACCAAAAUGCAGCUCUGCAGCUGCAUCUCUGCCUUGACCUACUGCCAGACUUAAACACAAUGGUUUCAAACUCUGCAAGCCUCUGGCAUCUUUCUUACCCUGAUUAUAUUUUAUGCUUGGAAAAAAGCAUGAAGCACAAGCAGCCCCAUGAAGAUGGGAGGAUAAGACCUUAAAAAUUAUGCUGCAGGCAACAAGGAUUUGAUGAGAGGAGUAAUGUGGCCAAAAGGACAAAGGAGAUUUUGAUACUCUGAAUGGGCAGGGGUUGGAAGAGAAGAGAAAGCAGGAGAUGGAGAUAAACAAAGGCAGGGACAUGCUUCAGGGAAAGUGUAGUAAAGGAAAAGCAUCUAAAUGCCAAAAGUGAUCCUCACUUUUUAUCCUCUUUUUGUGUUUCAUACAGUCACAUCAGCACAAUAGGUAUUCAUCUGGAGCACAGGAUCCAUUGAUAACUUUUUCAUCUCUUCAGGAGUCUGUUAAAAUAGUGCAUGGCUUUGCCUCCUGAGAUAGUGAACUCCUGUCUUGAAUGGAAAAAAGAUGGUGUACUGACCCAAAAAUUAAAGCAACUAAGGGAGCUUUAAAGUUAAAAAAUGUAAUAAACUUAAAAAUAAUCAGCAACAAUUUCCAGUUUAAAAGGUAUUACAAAUCCUUCUUGGCCUUCAGUGAAGAACAGGAGUUUUAUAAAAACAGAUAAACAUCUCUGGAAUGUGGAAAAAACAGAUUUUUAGUACAAAAGUCCAAAAGAAAUGAGAAGGCAUCCUGUUGUGUGCCUUACAGAGGUACUGCCACAUCCAAAUGAAUUGCUGUUGACAGACAGCAAAAAGGAUGAGUCAGGUGUGUAUUCUUCGCUCAGGUGAUGGCUGUCAUACCAUAAUGUUUUACAUUAUUCUUCACUGUUUAUUGCUAAAGGGAAUUGUCCCAGUUUUAAUACCAGCACUUUGCCUGAAUAAAUCCCACAUGCCUGUUUUUUGGGAAAAGUAAUAUUGAUUCAUGUAGAGCAGGUGCCUAAGAGCAAAGCAGAAUAUCGGGGAAAAAAGAUAAAAAUAAUGAAUCUUUAGUGUUCCUUUGCAGGAAAGGCUCUAGUUAUGAUGCAAAUGAUACAAAAUUAAUGUAUUCAUGAAUUAAAAAUGAGAGGUGGCGCAAACAUAAACUCGUUGUUGUUGAAAUGGAAUUGCACUGCUGUGUUCCUCAUGAAUUGCCACGUUAUGCUGAGACUCCUCAGAGCAAAGCUGCUCCCCCUCGGAGGGGUGAAAGGCUUCUGCAUGAUUGAAUCCAGAAACAGCGGGACAUCCUCCUGCAAGGAAGGUUUGUGGUGGUGUGUGGGGUGGGUUUGUUGGAGGGAGGCACAGCCAGCAGGUGCUGUACACAGCCCCAGUGUCUCAUGCAGCCUCCACCUGUCCCUUCCUCCUCCCUACCCUCCAUACUCUUCAUCCACUUGGAAAGGGUGUGUGACACAUGGAAGAGAGGGAGGUACAAGUCAUUGUCAGGCUGCACUGGGGUAGUUUUCCAAAUAUACUGUAACAGGAAGUAUGUCCUAAACCUAGGACAUUUUAUUAUGGUAGGAAGGUAAUUGUUGGAAGGUGAUUUUAUUGUAACCUAGCUUUUCUUUUUCUCCUCAUCCAUGUUAUGUCUCCUUCCUCCCAAAUUUUCCACUUUGCUGUGUGAUGAUGAUAAAUUUGCAGAAUUCUGGGUGUGCAAUGUAACUUACAAUCUGAUGCUAGUUAUCUGUAAGGUGUGCCAAAACAGGCUCAGCACAGAUCUUCAUAAAAAUAAUAAAAGGUGAAUCCGUUUCUCAUCUCUGCAUUUUUCUCAGCACACACAGCUACAAUGCCCACUGGCUGGGGUUUCAGAUAAUGUUGACCAACACAUUUCUUACUUUUAACCCACAGAGUAAAUACUUUCAAAGCAAACUAAAGUUAUGUUUUUAACUACGGAAAUAUUUCUUGACUGUCCU